GAUGAACGCUGGCGGCGUGCCUAAUACAUGCAAGUCGAGCGAACAGACGAGGAGCUUGCUCCUCUGACGUUAGCGGCGGACGGGUGAGUAACACGUGGAUAACCUACCUAUAAGACUGGGAUAACUUCGGGAAACCGGAGCUAAUACCGGAUAAUAUAUUGAACCGCAUGGUUCAAUAGUGAAAGACGGUUUUGCUGUCACUUAUAGAUGGAUCCGCGCCGCAUUAGCUAGUUGGUAAGGUAACGGCUUACCAAGGCAACGAUGCGUAGCCGACCUGAGAGGGUGAUCCGCCACACUGGAACUGAGACACGGUCCAGACUCCUACGGGAGGCAGCAGUAGGGAAUCUUCCGCAAUGGGCGAAAGCCUGACGGAGCAACGCCGCGUGAGUGAUGAAGGUCUUCGGAUCGUAAAACUCUGUUAUUAGGGAAGAACAAAUGUGUAAGUAACUAUGCACGUCUUGACGGUACCUAAUCAGAAAGCCACGGCUAACUACG
RNAcentral lists this ribosomal RNA (495 nucleotides) under uncultured bacterium. RNAcentral describes it as "partial 16S ribosomal RNA". It matches the Rfam family "Bacterial small subunit ribosomal RNA", at positions 28 to 505 of the family's 1533-position model. The record is from RNAcentral.